This 31-nucleotide non-coding RNA is filed under the name Mus musculus (house mouse). Lineage: Eukaryota; Metazoa; Chordata; Mammalia; Rodentia; Muridae. The record is from RNAcentral.
UUAGAACAUGGUGUGAUGAGCUACNGUUUUU